Molecule: ribosomal RNA, 419 nt
Filed under: uncultured bacterium
Lineage: Bacteria
Description: bacterial SSU rRNA
Rfam family: Bacterial small subunit ribosomal RNA
Source: RNAcentral
UAAGGAAUAUUGGUCAAUGGACGCAAGUCUGAACCAGCCAUGCCGCGUGAAGGAUGAAGGUCCUCUGGAUUGUAAACUUCUUUUAUCUGGGACGAAAACGGGAUUUUUAUCUCAAUUGACGGUACCAGAGGAAUAAGCACCGGCUAACUCCGUGCCAGCAGCCGCGGUAAUACGGAGGGUGCGAGCGUUAUCCGGAUUUACUGGGUUUAAAGGUGCGUAGGCGGGCAUGUAAGUCAGUGGUGAAAUACCGGAGCUUAACUUCGGAACUGCCAUUGAUACUAUAUGUCUUGAAUAUUGUGGAGGUAAGCGGAAUAUGUCAUGUAGCGGUGAAAUGCAUAGAUAUGACAUAGAACACCGAUUGCGGAGGCAGCUUGCUACGCAAAUAUUGACGCUGAGGCACGAAAGCGUGGGAUCAAACA